GCCGAAGUGGCGAAAUGGUAGACGCGCUACGUUCAGGACGUAGUACCUUUAAUAGGUGUGUGGGUUCGACUCCCUCCUUCGGCACCA
RNAcentral lists this transfer RNA (87 nucleotides) under SAR202 cluster bacterium. RNAcentral's name for it is "tRNA-Leu". It matches the Rfam family "tRNA". From Rfam's summary of the family: Transfer RNA (tRNA) molecules are approximately 80 nucleotides in length. Their secondary structure includes four short double-helical elements and three loops (D, anti-codon, and T loops). Further hydrogen bonds mediate the characteristic L-shaped molecular structure. tRNAs have two regions of fundamental functional importance: the anti-codon, which is responsible for specific mRNA codon recognition, and the 3' end, to which the tRNAs corresponding amino acid is attached (by aminoacyl-tRNA synthetases). tRNAs cope with the degeneracy of the genetic code in two manners: having more than one tRNA (with a specific anti-codon) for a particular amino acid; and 'wobble' base-pairing, i.e. permitting non-standard base-pairing at the 3rd anti-codon position. The record is from RNAcentral. Lineage: Bacteria; Bacillati; Chloroflexota; Dehalococcoidia.